RNAcentral lists this small RNA (579 nucleotides) under uncultured Exophiala. RNAcentral's name for it is "eukaryotic LSU rRNA". The stretch from base 173 to 327 matches the Rfam family "5.8S ribosomal RNA". Lineage: Eukaryota; Fungi; Ascomycota; Eurotiomycetes; Chaetothyriales; Herpotrichiellaceae. The record is from RNAcentral.
CCCGACCUCCCACCCUAUGUCUACUUGACCAUCGUUGCUUCGGCGAGCCCGUCCUCACGGACCGCCGGAGGGACCUUCACCGGCCCUCUGGUCCGCGCUCGUCGGUAGCCCAACCAUUAAAAUCUUUAACCAAACGUGCCUUAAUCUAAGUACAAUUAUUAAAUAAAAGCAAAACUUUCAACAACGGAUCUCUUGGUUCUGGCAUCGAUGAAGAACGCAGCGAAAUGCGAUAAGUAAUGCGAAUUGCAGAAUUCCAGUGAGUCAUCGAAUCUUUGAACGCACAUUGCGCCCUUUGGUAUUCCGAAGGGCAUGCCUGUUCGAGCGUCAUUAUCACCCCUCAAGCCCUCGGCUUGGUGUUGGACGGUUUGGUGGAGGCCCCCUCGGGGGCUCCUGCCCCUCCCAAAGACAAUGACGGCGGCCUCGUUGGACCCCCGGUACACUGAGUUCUUCACGGGACACGUAUCGGACACAUGGGUUUACGGGACACGGUCUGCCUCCCCUCAGGGAGAAUCUUUCUAAGGUUGACCUCGGAUCAGGUAGGGAUACCCGCUGAACUUAAGCAUAUCAAUAAGCGGAGGA